Molecule: ribosomal RNA, 119 nt
Filed under: Propithecus coquereli (Coquerel's sifaka)
Lineage: Eukaryota; Metazoa; Chordata; Mammalia; Primates; Indriidae
Source: RNAcentral
GUCUACAGCCAUACCACCCUGAAUGUGCCCAAUCUCGUCUGAUCUCGGAAGCUAAGCAAGGUUGAGACUGGUUAGUACUUGGAAGGGAGACCACCUGGGAAUAGCAGGUGCUAUAGGCU